RNAcentral lists this ribosomal RNA (723 nucleotides) under Salmonella enterica subsp. enterica serovar Kentucky. RNAcentral's name for it is "partial 23S ribosomal RNA". It matches the Rfam family "Bacterial large subunit ribosomal RNA", at positions 2220 to 2925 of the family's 2925-position model. The record is from RNAcentral. Lineage: Bacteria; Pseudomonadati; Pseudomonadota; Gammaproteobacteria; Enterobacterales; Enterobacteriaceae.
UUCUAACGUGGACCCGUAAUCCGGGUUGCGGACAGUGUCUGGUGGGUAGUUUGACUGGGGCGGUCUCCUCCUAAAGAGUAACGGAGGAGCACGAAGGUUGGCUAAUCCUGGUCGGACAUCAGGAGGUUAGUGCAAUGGCAUAAGCCAGCUUGACUGCGAGCGUGACGGCGCGAGCAGGUGCGAAAGCAGGUCAUAGUGAUCCGGUGGUUCUGAAUGGAAGGGCCAUCGCUCAACGGAUAAAAGGUACUCCGGGGAUAACAGGCUGAUACCGCCCAAGAGUUCAUAUCGACGGCGGUGUUUGGCACCUCGAUGUCGGCUCAUCACAUCCUGGGGCUGAAGUAGGUCCCAAGGGUAUGGCUGUUCGCCAUUUAAAGUGGUACGCGAGCUGGGUUUAGAACGUCGUGAGACAGUUCGGUCCCUAUCUGCCGUGGGCGCUGGAGAACUGAGGGGGGCUGCUCCUAGUACGAGAGGACCGGAGUGGACGCAUCACUGGUGUUCGGGUUGUCAUGCCAAUGGCACUGCCCGGUAGCUAAAUGCGGAAGAGAUAAGUGCUGAAAGCAUCUAAGCACGAAACUUGCCCCGAGAUGAGUUCUCCCUGAGACUUUAGGUCUCCUGAAGGAACGUUGAAGACGACGACGUUGAUAGGCCGGGUGUGUAAGCGCAGCGAUGCGUUGAGCUAACCGGUACUAAUGAACCGUGAGGCUUAACCUUACAACGCCGAAG